AUUGAACGCUGGCGGCAUGCCUUACACAUGCAAGUCGAACGGUAACAGGUCUUCGUAUGCUGACGAGUGGCGAACGGGUGAGUAAUACAUCGGAACGUGCCCCGACGUUGGGGAUAACGAGGCGAAAGCUUUGCUAAUACCUCAUACGAUCUGAGGUUUAAAGCAGGGGACCUCAAGGCCUUGUGCGUUUCUUGCGGCCGAUGGGAGAUUAGGUAGUUGGUGGGAUAAAAGCUUACCAAGCCGACGAUCUGUAGCUGGUCUGAGAGGACGACCAGCCACACUGGGACUGAGACACGGCCCAGACUCCUACGGGAGGCAGCAGUGGGGAAUUUUGGACAAUGGGCGAAAGCCUGAUCCAGCAAUGCCGCGUGCAGGAUGAAGGCCUUCGGGUUGUAAACUGCUUUUGUACGGAACGAAAAGGCUCUGGCUAAUACCUGGGGCACAUGACGGUACCGUAAGAAUAAGCACCGGCUAACUACGUG
RNAcentral lists this ribosomal RNA (482 nucleotides) under uncultured bacterium. RNAcentral's name for it is "partial 16S ribosomal RNA". It matches the Rfam family "Bacterial small subunit ribosomal RNA", at positions 30 to 507 of the family's 1533-position model. The record is from RNAcentral.